AGAGUUUGAUCAUGGCUCAGGACGAACGCUGGCGGCGUGCCUAAUACAUGCAAGUCGAGCGAAGAAUAGGUUUCAAAUCUUCGGAUGCGAGUCUUCGGAUGCGAGACCUAUUACUUAGCGGCGAACGGGUGAGUAACGCGUGGGCAACCUGCCCCCUAGACCGGGAUAACAGCUCGAAAGGGCUGCUAAUACCGGAUACGCCUCAUGUGCUGCAUGGCAUAUGAGGGAAAGCGCUUUAGCGCUGGGGGAUGGGCCCGCGUCCCAUUAGCUAGUUGGUGAGGUAACGGCUCACCAAGGCGACGAUGGGUAGCCGGCCUGAGAGGGUGGACGGCCACACUGGGACUGAGACACGGCCCAGACUCCUACGGGAGGCAGCAGUAGGGAAUAUUGCGCAAUGGGGGGAACCCUGACGCAGCGACGCCGCGUGAGCGAUGAAGGCCUUCGGGUCGUAAAGCUCUGUCCUAUGGGACGACGAGGACGGUACCAUAGGAGGAAGCCCCGGCUAACUACGUGCCAGCAGCCGCGGUAAUACGUAGGGGGCGAGCGUUGUCCGGAAUUACUGGGCGUAAAGGGUGCGUAGGCGGAUACGCAAGUCCGAUGUGAAAUGCCUCGGCUUAACCGAGGAGCUGCAUUGGAAACUGUGUAUCUAGAGUGCAGGAGAGGGAAGCGGAAUUCCUAGUGUAGCGGUGAAAU
This 693-nucleotide ribosomal RNA is filed under the name uncultured bacterium. RNAcentral describes it as "bacterial SSU rRNA". It matches the Rfam family "Bacterial small subunit ribosomal RNA", at positions 8 to 687 of the family's 1533-position model. The record is from RNAcentral.